UGAGGAAUAUUGCGCAAUGGGCGAAAGCCUGACGCAGCGACGCCGCGUGGAGGAUGAAGGUUUUCGGAUUGUAAACUCCUGUUAAGUGGGAAGAAACGACAAAAUAUAAUACAUUUUUGUAACUGACGGUACCAUUAAAGAAAGCACCGGCUAACUUCGUGCCAGCAGCCGCGGUAAUACGAGGGGUGCAAGCGUUAUUCGGAAUUAUUGGGCGUAAAGGGUGCGUAGGCGGCGUAUUAAGUCAACUGUUAAAACCUCCAGCCUAACUGGAGAUCAGCAGUAGAUACUGGUAUGCUAGAGGAUGGAAGAGAGAAGUGGAAUUCUUGGAGUAGCGGUGGAAUGCGUAGAUCUCAAGAGGAACACCAAUGGCGAAGGCAGCCCCCUGGGCCAAUACUGACGCUCAUGCACGAAAGCGUGGGGAGCAAACAGGAUUAGAUACCCUGGUAGUCCACGCCCUAAACGAUGUCAACUAGUUGUUGGGGAUUCAUUUCCUUAAGUAACGUAGCUAACGCGUGAAGUUGGACCGCCUGGGGAGUACGGUCGCAAGAUUAAAACUUAAAU
This 561-nucleotide ribosomal RNA is filed under the name uncultured bacterium. RNAcentral's name for it is "partial 16S ribosomal RNA". It matches the Rfam family "Bacterial small subunit ribosomal RNA", at positions 355 to 906 of the family's 1533-position model. The record is from RNAcentral.